GACAGAGGUGCCGAGCGUUAGGCGGAAUCACUGGGCUUAAAGCGUGUGUAGGCGGAUCCGUAAGUACCUUGUGAAAUCCCACGGCUCAACCGUGGAACUGCUGGGUAUACUGCGGGUCUUGAGCCACCUAGGGGCGAGCGGAACAAGUGGUGGAGCGGUGAAAUGCGUAGAUAUCACUUGGAACGCCAAUGGUGAAAACAGCUCGCUGGGGGUGUGCUGACGCUGAGACACGAAAGCCAGGGGAGCGAACGGG
RNAcentral lists this ribosomal RNA (253 nucleotides) under uncultured bacterium. Its description in RNAcentral is "partial 16S ribosomal RNA". It matches the Rfam family "Bacterial small subunit ribosomal RNA", at positions 524 to 776 of the family's 1533-position model. The record is from RNAcentral.